CCUGAUACAAGUAAAUUUGAUUAUUCCUACGAGUACACUAGACCGCCUUGUACAAGUAAAUUUGAUUAUUCGUACGAUUACACUAGACCACCUUGUACAAGUAAAUUCUUGUACCGGUUCGGAUCCUGUACAGAUCGAACUUCUGUUUUUAGUUUUUCCAGAACAAAAAUGGAAGAUACAAAUAAGAUGAAUGAGAAGAAGGAGAUGAAGGUUAAGAAGAUAAAAGCGUCUCGGAGUAUGCUAGAUGUCGCUGCAUACCUUGUCGCGAAGAAUAGAAUUCAUGAUUCAGAUGAUUUAUGGUUCGGGGAGGAAAAUAAGGAUGACGUGGAAAUGUUUUGCAGGGUGAAAGAACCAACUGGAAGGGAAGAAAAUAAAAGCGAAGAGAAUGAAGAAAAA
Eurytemora carolleeae is the source of this 396-nucleotide long non-coding RNA. RefSeq lists it as uncharacterized. The transcript is spliced from 3 exons. NCBI's taxonomy places the organism in Eukaryota, Metazoa, Arthropoda, Copepoda, Calanoida, Temoridae. The record is from RefSeq and is a predicted model, not a curated record.